Strigops habroptila (Kakapo) is the source of this 2309-nucleotide long non-coding RNA. Lineage: Eukaryota; Metazoa; Chordata; Aves; Psittaciformes; Psittacidae. The record is from Ensembl.
UUUAAUUGGAUUUAUUGGAGGAAAACAAUUAGUCAUCCCUUUAAAUUGUCAUCAUGAUAGAAAUCUCGAUAUGUAUACAUGAUUGUCAAGGCAGAGAACCACUUGCGACGUAGCCCCAUUAACAAUUUGCAGUAUUGCAAACUCAUUACGCAGAUAAAACUUUUGUGAUGCCUUAAAACAUGCAUGGAGUAAAUACAUAUUCUCCCUUCUUUUUGGACAUGGAUGCUGUUAUGAACUUGUAUCAAUCACAAGACCUGCAAUAUUAGGCACACUGACAUUCCUUGAUUAAGAUUUAAGCCUCUGUAGAAAACAUGCUUGUGUUUUCAUUAAGUGAAAUCAAGAUGUUUUGUUGUUGGGGAUAUCUGGGGAGUCACUACUCUGGGCAGAGCAGGCUUUUUCUCAUUGUUUGCUGACCUAAAUCAAAUAUCUGUCUAAAAAAUGUCCAAACUGACCAAAAUGCUGUUUCUUAACUAGAGGCCAGUGUACAACAGGACACUGACAUUGUGUUGACCAGAAACAUGAGUCUGGUCACCAUAUCUCCCACUGAGCUAACAACCUUUCAUGCUCCUCACUUUGGGGGUCAUGCUACAGCUUGAUCUAGUAAGACACAGCAUAUGUGAUGCUGUGCUGACUCAGGGGAUGCAGAUGACAGAUGGAAAAGCUCAGAGCUGCUCUGAGCACCCCCCUUGGAGCUCCCACCCACCCAGAACCACAGCACAUGUCCACCUCUUCAUGGAGCCUUGCACCACGUGCUGCCUCAGCAAUCUGAACUCAGAUUGUAAAUCAGGCUGAUUUACAGCCAUUAUUAAUGAUGAUUUUCAUGCUGCCAUGUAGUGCUUCUGCAAUGGCACAGCAUCUUGGCUGAGCACCAGCCUUGAAGGUGGGCUCAAGGCUUCUUGGUGCUUUCAGCCACCAUGGAGCAGCCCCUUGCGUUAUUUCCAAGGACUGAUACUUGCUCCCUAUGCCACCAGCAUAGGCGCUUUCUCUCCAGCCCUGCUGCUUGGCAUGUCAUUGCCAAGAAUCCAGAGCAAUUUCCCAGCCCUUUCAGAUGACUCUGCUUUGAGUAUUGGGAACUUUAUCCUCUCCCACACUAACACAGCAACCACUCACGAACUGGGACCCAUGCCCUCCUGAUGCCCACAAGAGGAUUGAGCCAGAGCUACUAUAAGUACCAUGUGGCCAUCCUGUACCCUGCCUUAGGAAGACCAGCACAAAUGAAAAUGUGUCAAUGAUUAAGGGAAGAGGAGGCAACGGCAUGAUUACCAUGUGGAAGAAAGAAAAAUACCAUCCCAAACUCUUCCACGGAUAAAUGGUGGUACUACGUAGAGGUUCAAGGAUCAAAUGCUAGUGUCUCAGUGGUGAUGCUUUGGAAAAGAUGGGAUAAUUAGCUCAGCUCUCUGCCCUAUUUUGUGCAGGCAAAAGAUCACAGCAUCUUGGUCCCCAAAAUGCAGUUCAUUCUGCAACAGGUGAGAAAGAAAUAUCUUGCAGGAAGAGAAAAUAUACUGAGAAUUGAGUGGACCAGUCUAAAUUUUGACUAAGAAAAACAAACCAAAGGAAAAAAGAGGAAACAAAGAGACACACCAACAUGCUGCUUGGUAAUCCUGAGCAUUAGCAGCCCAGGGAAGGAAUUUUUGAUGCAAAUCAAAUUUGUAAGCAUUGUAUCCAAAAAGGGAACCUCCCCUCCCCGACUCCCUGUUUCUAGACGUGUGUACAUGACUGCUGCAUAGUUUUAAGCUGCUCUGGAUGGUGACUCUUCCUGUACAUGCUGCAGAGCAUUCAACAGAAAGACAAAAUACAUUACCAGGCUUUGCAAUAUCUUGUUUACAAAACAUCAGCUUUUGCAUUUACUCAAACUUAACAAUGGAUUUAGAGUUACAGAUACAUUGAGUCAUUUAAAAGCAAAACGUAGAAGUAAACCCCUUGAAGAAAAGGUUGGGUUGAACGUGAAUAAAGAAAAAGCUUGGGAAAUACAGAAACAGUGAACAGCAGAUUAAUACAUGCAGUGCAGUAUCAUGCAUUUAUUGGACAUUUGAUGUCAUCGUUAGUUCAGCAGUGAUUUUUUUCACAACGCUUGCGAGCGUACAUGCCCUGACUCCACUCUGGAGCAUGGAAAAAAUGUAAGAGCCACUCUUCUGACCUUAUCAUUUAUGAAGAGGUGGAAAAAAUAUCUACCUGAACAAACCAGUGACACAGUUCGUGGUGGGAAGAGGUCUUGAAAACCAGAGUCUGGGCUAAAGAGCCUUUAUCCUGCAUUACAAACACUAUUUACACAGCUUUGACCCAACCGUGCAAAGUCAGACCAAAAACCC